UAACAUGGACCUUUUUCAAUAAACUGAGCGGCUACUAAUUUAGAUAGAUUAAAAAGGCACAUGUCGACAUAUGCCCUUAUAAAUUGUUGAAACGUGAUGUUCUUAAAACGUAGAAAGGGCCUAAGUCAACAUAUGCCCUUUUAAAUAGGUCAAAACCCUGCUUUGUAAUAGCAGAGUUAGGGCCUAUGUAAAGAAACCUAGCCAGUGAAAGUGCCAGUCAACCGACCGAACUUUGCACUAACCAAUUAAAGCGACAUUAAAAACUGUUUGAAACAUGUGAUCCGGUAUUAUUUCAGUGAUAUCGACACGCUGUAAUUAUUUCGCGCAAUAAUUAAGUUCCAGAAGGCCAUGGAAGAGUCUUAAGCCGCGCGACACGUUAUCAUCCAUUUCAUUUUAUGCACGUAAUUGUUGAGUUGUUGUUUUGUGAUACGUUAUGCGAUUUCUGUUGCAACUUGAAUCUAUUAUUAUACCAACCCGAUUUCUCUGCUUGUUCAGUUUAAAUCGCCAGGUGAACGUGAUUGAACACGUGAGUUUUGUCCGUCGUAUUAUAGCAAUCUGUAAUAAUUGUAAUCCUGUGAUAAGAAUUUUGGCUCUGAUCAAGUAUAACUUAACUGCCUACGCCGGGACAGGGACAGCGAAACGUCAAAGAGGUGCAACUGAAGAUGUGCCCGACAAUUAUUUAUCUAGGUCGUUUUGUUUAAUUUCUAACGUAAAAUAAGAACAUCACAAAAUACAACCUUUUUAAUUGCCUCCCUUAGACCGCAAAACGGAAUACCUAGUCUGAAUCAAUAUAUUGCUAGUAAAUAACCCGUAUUUUGUGUCAUAUUAUAGCGAAAUGUUUAAUCCUUAAUUCCUUUCUGUUGUGAAUUUCUGUUCUGAACCAGAAUAAAUUACCUGUCAUGACAGUGUAUAUACUAAAGCAGUUAUUCAAUCACGUAUCGUGAUACAACUGUCCAGUAUCCGCUCUGAUCCAGAAUAACUUACCUGUCAUGACAGUCUAUAACAGUUAUUCAAUCACGCGCUACGAUUAAAUGAGCUUUCGGUUUCAUUUUGUGCAGGGUAUAAACUUCUGUCUCAACGUAUUAUACUGUUAACUGUUAGCUGUGCUCUCUGUGGGGCAUGAAAUAUCGAUUUUGUUCUAACGCCACUUUACCUUUCGAUGUAGAUUCAAAAGCGGCUGCACAUUGUCACAUUGCUGGUUUAUUGACUAACAUUUCUUAGCUUGGUACUUUCUUUUAGUAUAUUUUCUCAGUAUAAUUUUUGAAAUAACGAGAUGUGUGUUAUAAGGAAAUAAUACAUGCAAUACUAAAUACAUUACCAUCCAUUUAGCUAGAUGACUCAUUCUGUAAAGCUUCGAAAGAGGAAGGGCCGGGGCGGUACGUUAUCAGUAGAGGAUACAAUGUGGUGUCCUGGGUUGCAGGUUCUUGCAAACCCCUUUCAAGACAAGUUAUACUACAAGGCUACCAUUGUAAAAAGAGUGAGGGAAGGCGUCUUCAGUCUACAGUUCGAGUCUGAAAAUAAGUCCCGCAAUGUUUCUGCGAAAUUCAUGAAGCUUCUUAUACUUGGAGUGGGUAAGUGUAAAUUUAAAAUGACACUAAUACAU
Long non-coding RNA from Bolinopsis microptera, 1603 nucleotides. RefSeq lists it as uncharacterized. The transcript has 3 exons. Lineage: Eukaryota; Metazoa; Ctenophora; Tentaculata; Lobata; Bolinopsidae. The record is from RefSeq and is a predicted model, not a curated record.